Camelus dromedarius (Arabian camel) is the source of this 740-nucleotide long non-coding RNA. RefSeq lists it as uncharacterized. The transcript is spliced from 4 exons. The record is from RefSeq and is a predicted model, not a curated record. Lineage: Eukaryota; Metazoa; Chordata; Mammalia; Artiodactyla; Camelidae.
UAGCUCCACAGGGCCGGCCGCCUUUUCGCCCGCGCACACCUGCGACCGGAAGAGAUCCCUGUGACUGUGAGUCGUGACCGCCACUCGCCGCCCACCCGCCCUUUCCUUGAGCCAGGGCCAGAUUGCGAAUGGUGAUUGGAUGUUCGUGGUUUGCUGGUGGCUUUCUGCUUGAAUGAUCCGGAUACACAGACUCUUUCCAUUUUGUGAUCUGCUGUGACCUUGGGCUUCGGAGUCCUCUGCACAUAGCUGAUAAAAACAAAAAGAAAGAGUGGAGAAUUCUGCCUCUUAAAAAUGCAGAGGAAUCCCGAAGACCAUGGAAGAUGUGUGUCUGUAUGUGUUUAGGAGGAAGGAAGGAAGGAAGGAAGGAUGCGGGCUACAGGGCAGAAGACAAAGACAUGGAAAAGGAAUUGAAAGAAAACCCAGGCAUCCUUUAGAUACUCUGUCUUUAUGGAGCCAGAUUUUGGGACAACAAGAUCUCUACCUCUUCAUUGUCUGUGAGUGUUUUCCAUAACUAAUCAUUCUUCUUUAUGUUGGGGGCCAAAGAGGUCAUAUGUGAUCACAGUUCACAGGAUGUGUGUUUGGAAACCAGGAGGAGAGAUCUCAGUGGCAGAAUAGAGUUUAGUAUGUGAAAAUGUGUUUGGCUGCAAGUAAAGAAACCCUGAAACCCUGACUUAUAACAGCAUAUUUUUCUGACAUAAAAAGUAAGUGAAAGACAAAUAUUGUAUGAUAUCACUGCUAUG